GACGAACGCUGGCGGCGUGCUUAACACAUGCAAGUCGAACGGAAAGGCCCUGCUUUUGUGGGGUGCUCGAGUGGCGAACGGGUGAGUAACACGUGAGUAACCUGCCCUUGACUUUGGGAUAACUUCAGGAAACUGGGGCUAAUACCGGAUAGGAGCUCCUGCUGCAUGGUGGGAGUUGGAAAGUUUCGGCGGUUGGGGAUGGACUCGCGGCUUAUCAGCUUGUUGGUGGGGUAGUGGCUUACCAAGGCUUUGACGGGUAGCCGGCCUGAGAGGGUGACCGGCCACAUUGGGACUGAGAUACGGCCCAGACUCCUACGGGAGGCAGCAGUGGGGAAUAUUGCACAAUGGGCGGAAGCCUGAUGCAGCAACGCCGCGUGCGGGAUGACGGCCUUCGGGUUGUAAACCGCUUUCGCCUGUGACGAAGCGGGAGUGACGGUAAUGGGUAAAGAAGCACCGGCUAACUACGUG
RNAcentral lists this ribosomal RNA (468 nucleotides) under uncultured bacterium. RNAcentral's name for it is "partial 16S ribosomal RNA". It matches the Rfam family "Bacterial small subunit ribosomal RNA", at positions 28 to 507 of the family's 1533-position model. The record is from RNAcentral.